This 395-nucleotide long non-coding RNA is filed under the name Ictidomys tridecemlineatus (thirteen-lined ground squirrel). RNAcentral's name for it is "lncRNA (ENSSTOG00000031122.1)". The record is from RNAcentral. Lineage: Eukaryota; Metazoa; Chordata; Mammalia; Rodentia; Sciuridae.
AUAGAAAUAAAGAGAGACCAUCUGGAAGGUCUUAGCAUCCCUCACAGGACAGACCUGGAGACCAGAAUCAUCCAAGUCAAGUCAAAACACCAGGAAAGCCAGCCAGCCAGCGAGUGCCGGUCCCCCCACUGCAAUGGCCCACGUGGAACCUUACAAAACACACCCUUGUGCCUUUCCAAUCUUUCGCAUGGUCUCAGAGAUCCGUGACGUUGUGGCCGUAUGAAUUGAUUGUACCUUUCCUUUGGCAAUGAGUGUUGAAACUCAUGACUGUCCUGCAUUGGGAAAGACAAACAUUCUAGAACUGAAGUAUAAAACAGUUGGUCCGUACCCUUCAAAUCAAUAGACUGGCCAUAUCCUAUUAAAAAUAACUGCUACUCCCAGAAUUGACCCUUUAC